Molecule: transfer RNA, 62 nt
Organism: Selaginella moellendorffii
Lineage: Eukaryota; Viridiplantae; Streptophyta; Lycopodiopsida; Selaginellales; Selaginellaceae
Rfam family: tRNA
About the family: Transfer RNA (tRNA) molecules are approximately 80 nucleotides in length. Their secondary structure includes four short double-helical elements and three loops (D, anti-codon, and T loops).
Source: Rfam
GUGGGGAUAGCUCCGUCAGACUGAAAAUCUGAAGGCCGCAUGUUCGAUCCACGCUCACCCCA